RNAcentral lists this unclassified non-coding RNA (360 nucleotides) under soil metagenome. RNAcentral's name for it is "partial contains 5.8S ribosomal RNA, internal transcribed spacer 2, and large subunit ribosomal RNA". The stretch from base 1 to 120 matches the Rfam family "5.8S ribosomal RNA", at positions 35 to 154 of the family's 154-position model. The record is from RNAcentral.
GAUGAAGAACGUAGCGAAAUGCGAUAAGUAAUGCGAAUUGCAGAAUUCAGUGAAUCAUCGAAUCUUUGAACGCACAUUGAGCCCGCCAGUAUUCUGGCGGGCAUGCCUGUCUGAGCGUCGUUUCGACCCUCGCGCCCGGCUUCUGUCGGGGGCGGUGUUGGGGAUCGGCCACACCCUUCAGUGGGAGGCCGGCCCCUAAAUUCAGUGGCGACCACGCUGUAGCCUCCCCUGCGUAGUACUAAAACCACCUCGCAGGCGGAGAGCGGUGCGGCCCGCCGUAAAACCCCCCAACUUUUACAAGGUCGACCUCAGAUCAGGUAGGAAUACCCGCUGAACUUAAGCAUAUCAAUAAGCGGAGGA